CGGUAGGUGGCAAGCGUUGUCCGGAUUUAUUGGGUUUAAAGGGUGCGUAGGCGGUCUUAUAAGUCAGUGCUGAAAUAUCCCGGCUUAACCGGGAGGGUGGCAUUGAUACUGUAGGACUUGAGUAAAGUUGAGGUUGGCGGAAUUGACGGUGUAGCGGUGAAAUGCUUAGAUAUCGUCAAGAACACCGAUAGUGUAGACAGCUAACUAAGCUUUAACUGACGCUGAGGCACGAAAGUGUGGGGAUCAAACAGGAUUAGAUACCCUGGUAGUCCACACUGUAAACGUUGAAGACUCGCUGUUGGCGAUACACAGUCAGCGGCUGAGAGAAAUCGUUAAGUCUUCCACCUGGGGGAGUACGCCGGCAACGGUG
Molecule: ribosomal RNA, 370 nt
Filed under: uncultured organism
Description: bacterial SSU rRNA
Rfam family: Bacterial small subunit ribosomal RNA
Source: RNAcentral